This 543-nucleotide ribosomal RNA is filed under the name Physarum viride. RNAcentral describes it as "SSU rRNA". It matches the Rfam family "Eukaryotic small subunit ribosomal RNA", at positions 28 to 487 of the family's 1831-position model. The record is from RNAcentral. Lineage: Eukaryota; Evosea; Eumycetozoa; Physariida; Physaraceae.
AUGCUUCUCCUAAAGACUAAGCCAUGCAUGCCUUCGAAUAAGAAGACGCAAUUUCUCUGAAUCUGCGAACGGCUCCGCACACCAGUUGUAAACCAUAGCGAGCAAACCUGGGGGAGGCGCUCUUUACUGGGCGACUGCCCCGGGUUGCAUAUGGAUAUCCAUGGUAAUCCUGAGGCUAAUACAAGUACAUAGGACCCUGCCGACCGGGCAACUGGAAGGCAGGGGGUUGUGUGAAGCUUAACCGCGACACUCGACCAUGAAUAGACGCACAAUCAGACCACCACAUCAAGAACGGUUGGGUUCCGCGCCGUCUCCUCUCGGGGGGAAGGCCGGGGCCUGUCCGGGUGGCUCUCGCUUUGUGCUUCUGACCUAUCAACUAGAUGGCAGCGUAAGGGACAUGCCAUGGUGACAACGGGUACAGAGGAUAAGGGUUCGAUCCUGGAGAGUGGGCCUGAGAGAUUGCUCACACUUCUAAGGAAGGCAGCAGGCGCGUAACGUUCCCAAUGGGUAAAACCUGAGGGCGUUAGGGGACAUAUGAAUGCC